UGAGGAAUAUUGGUCAAUGGGCGAGAGCCUGAACCAGCCAAGUCGCGUGAAGGAAGAAGGAUCUAUGGUUCGUAAACUUCUUUUUUAGGGGAAUAAAGUGCGGUACGUGUACCGUUUUGUAUGUACCCUACGAAUAAGGAUCGGCUAACUCCGUGCCAGCAGCCGCGGUAAUACGGGGGAUCCGAGCGUUAUCCGGAUUUAUUGGGUUUAAAGGGUGCGUAGGCGGAAGAAUAAGUCAUGGGUGAAAGUUUGCAGCUCAACUGUAAAAUUGCCGUUGAAACUGUUUUUCGUGAGUGUAAAUGAGGUAGGCGGAAUGUGUUGUGUAGCGGUGAAAUGCUUAGAUAUGACACAGAACACCUAUUGCGAAGGCAGCUUACUAAGAUACAACUGACGCUGAGGCACGAAAGCGUGGGGAUCGAACA
This 422-nucleotide ribosomal RNA is filed under the name uncultured prokaryote. RNAcentral's name for it is "bacterial SSU rRNA". It matches the Rfam family "Bacterial small subunit ribosomal RNA", at positions 355 to 774 of the family's 1533-position model. The record is from RNAcentral.